CUUGUUAUAAGAAUGACCAAUAGACAAAUUACUAUUAUCACCCUUGUAGGUGUGACCCAUUGAUAUGGUAUUCUCAUCUCCUUUAUUAUAGAUGUGCCCCAUUGAUAUGGUAUUGUCAUCCCCCUUGUUGUAGGUUUGACCCAUAGAUAUGAUAUUGUUGUCUCCUUUGCUGAAUGUGUGACCCAUUGAAAUCGUAUUGUCACCCCCCUUAUCGUAGGUAUGACCCAUGGACAUUAUACUGUUAUCAGCCUUGUUGAACGUUUGACCCAUUGAUAUGGUAUUAUCAUCCCCCUUGUAUGUUUGACCCAUAGAUAUGAC
This 318-nucleotide long non-coding RNA is filed under the name Vitis vinifera (wine grape). RNAcentral describes it as "long non-coding RNA (VVIN_LNC002546)". Lineage: Eukaryota; Viridiplantae; Streptophyta; Magnoliopsida; Vitales; Vitaceae. The record is from RNAcentral.